This 339-nucleotide ribosomal RNA is filed under the name Escherichia coli. Its description in RNAcentral is "bacterial SSU rRNA". It matches the Rfam family "Bacterial small subunit ribosomal RNA", at positions 1108 to 1447 of the family's 1533-position model. The record is from RNAcentral. Lineage: Bacteria; Pseudomonadati; Pseudomonadota; Gammaproteobacteria; Enterobacterales; Enterobacteriaceae.
UCCUUUGUUGCCAGCGGUCCGGCCGGGAACUCAAAGGAGACUGCCAGUGAUAAACUGGAGGAAGGUGGGGAUGACGUCAAGUCAUCAUGGCCCUUACGACCAGGGCUACACACGUGCUACAAUGGCGCAUACAAAGAGAAGCGACCUCGCGAGAGCAAGCGGACCUCAUAAAGUGCGUCGUAGUCCGGAUUGGAGUCUGCAACUCGACUCCAUGAAGUCGGAAUCGCUAGUAAUCGUGGAUCAGAAUGCCACGGUGAAUACGUUCCCGGGCCUUGUACACACCGCCCGUCACACCAUGGGAGUGGGUUGCAAAAGAAGUAGGUAGCUUAACCUUCGGGA